UAGGGAAUCUUCGGCAAUGGACGAAAGUCUGACCGAGCAACGCCGCGUGAGUGAAGAAGGUUUUUUGAUCGUAAAACUCUGUUGCUAGAGAAGAACAAGGACGUUAGUAACUGAACGUCCCCUGACGGUAUCUAACCAGAAUUCCACGGCUAACUACGUGCCAGCAGCCGCGGUAAUACGUAGGUUGCACGCGUUGUCCGGAUUAAUUGGGCGUAAAGCGAGCGCAGGCGGUUUCUUAAGUCUGUUGUGAAAGCCCCCGGCUCAACCGGGGAGGGUCAUUGGAAUCUGGGAGAAUUGAGUGCAGAAGAGGAGAGUGGAAUUCCAUGUGUAGCGGUGAAAUGCGUAGAUAUAUGGAGGUACAACAGUGGCGAAGGCGGCUCUCUGGUCUGUAACUGACGCUGAGGCUGGAAAGCGUGGGGGGCAAACAGG
RNAcentral lists this ribosomal RNA (429 nucleotides) under Gemmatimonadota bacterium. RNAcentral describes it as "Gemmatimonadetes bacterium partial 16S ribosomal RNA". It matches the Rfam family "Bacterial small subunit ribosomal RNA", at positions 355 to 776 of the family's 1533-position model. The record is from RNAcentral. Lineage: Bacteria; Pseudomonadati; Gemmatimonadota.